RNAcentral lists this ribosomal RNA (215 nucleotides) under uncultured bacterium. RNAcentral describes it as "partial 16S ribosomal RNA". It matches the Rfam family "Bacterial small subunit ribosomal RNA", at positions 1286 to 1500 of the family's 1533-position model. The record is from RNAcentral.
CCCCAGUUCGGAUUGCAGGCUGCAACCCGCCUGCAUGAAGCCGGAAUCGCUAGUAAUCGCGGAUCAGAAUGCCGCGGUGAAUACGUUCCCGGGUCUUGUACACACCGCCCGUCACACCAUGGGAGUCGGGAAUGCCCGAAGUCAGUGGCCCAACCGGAAGGGGGGAGCUGCCGAAGGCAGGCCCGGUGACUGGGGUGAAGUCGUAACAAGGUACC